Molecule: ribosomal RNA, 253 nt
Filed under: uncultured bacterium
Lineage: Bacteria
Description: partial 16S ribosomal RNA
Rfam family: Bacterial small subunit ribosomal RNA
Source: RNAcentral
GACGAACCGUGCGAACGUUGUUCGGAAUCACUGGGCUUAAAGGGCGCGUAGGCGGGCCGGCCAGUCGGAGGUGAAAGCCCCCAGCUUAACUGGGGAAGUGCCCCCGAUACUGCCGGCCUGGAGGGGGGUAGGGGCGUGCGGAACUUCCGGUGGAGCGGUGAAAUGCGUAGAUAUCGGAAGGAACACCGGUGGCGAAGGCGGCACGCUGGGCCCACCCUGACGCUGAGGCGCGAAAGCCAGGGGAGCGAACGGG